Long non-coding RNA from Cyprinus carpio (common carp), 1174 nucleotides. The record is from Ensembl. NCBI's taxonomy places the organism in Eukaryota, Metazoa, Chordata, Actinopteri, Cypriniformes, Cyprinidae.
GUUUGGUGCCAUGUGCUCUCUCCUGUCUUAUUGUUUGUCCCUUCCCAUCUUGUCAUCUCACUUUUUCAGUUGCUCCACCUGUGUCUCCCUCGUUACCCUCCUCGUUUAUCUCCCUAUUUAUUCUCCAGGUGUCUGCAGUCAUGUGCUGAUCCGUUGUUAUAUGUCAGAAGUAUGUAUGGUAUGUAACCUGUAUGUGUGGUAUGUAACUGCUGCUCUGCUCUGCUCUGCUCUGCUGUGCCUUGUUCCUGGCCUGCCUGCCUGUUUUUCACCCUUGGGGUACUGAAGCCACUCUGAAGAGAGAUCCUCCUUUUAGUCUUCCUAUAUAGUAAUCAAAGCAGUCUAAAGCAAGGAUUUACUCGCACAUCUUUCAAAAGUCAUGACCAUUAUGAGCUGGAGGCUUUUGGCGCAAAAGCAAGAAGAGGCCAUGAAGGAUCAGGGUUUGGGGUUAAUAGGUUUGGGAGGAACCGAAAACAGAACAUACUGUCUUGGAGUCUAAACUGGCACAGGAAAUCCAAUCUUGGUGUAAAAACUGUAAUGGUCAAAGAUGUCAUUUCUAAAGUGUUAGGCGUUAAUUCAGCUCUAACACUGAAUGCAAACUAUGCUUGUAAAUAGAAACAUUCAUUCUUUUAAUAGCAUUUUCUUAAAGGGGUCAUAUGAUGUUUAAAAAAUACAUUAUUUUCCACAUACUGUACAUUAUUGUUUCUCCUCUAUGCCCCGCCUUUCUGAAACGCAUAGUUUUUUACAAAGCUCAUUGGUCUGAAAAGCGAGGUGUGCUCUGAUUGGCCAGCUAUCAAGUGCUUUGUGAUUGGCCAAAUGCCUCAAGCGUGUUAUGGAAAUGUUACCCUUGCCAUACCAGAGUGGGGUAAAAUUAGCCACUUUUUACUUAUGUGAUCCUCAAGAUAAGGGAAAAUGACGCAAAAGUACAAUGAAAGUAUCUAUCUUAUCCAAAGGAAAGUAUUCCUAUCAUUUUAAAUGAUCAGAAUGUAUCUAUGACAAAGGGCUCUUAAAUAUGGCUUUUUAUAAAAAAAAAAAGUGUUCCCAUGGUUCAGUUUGCCCUGGGUUUGGGGUAAGCUGACCCGAGUCGAGUCAGUGGGUAAGAUGUACCAUUUGGGUGUAAAAUCACCAUCCACCCAUGUGAAAUAAACAAUUUAAAAACUAAUUUAAUAAUUUCCUU